UGGGCUCAGAGCCAUUCAGUGCGAGGAACUUCACCCAGUAGGGCCCGGGGCCGGGCAGGGGCCCAUUGCAGUUGGGUACAGAGAUGUUGUCAGCACAGCCGGUCUCGCUGCCCACGCGCAGCACAGUGAGCUCCCUAUCGGGUUUAGGGCAGCCGUAGUGGUACUGCAUGGCACCCAGCGUCAGGUAGGCUGACGUGUUGGUAGGGAAGCGCUGGAAGCUCCACUCGGG
Molecule: long non-coding RNA, 229 nt
Filed under: Gallus gallus (chicken)
Lineage: Eukaryota; Metazoa; Chordata; Aves; Galliformes; Phasianidae
Source: RNAcentral